UUCUAUUGUAUGAAUGUAAGAAAGCAAUCAUAACAAUAAGCAUUGUUAUGCAUUUUUCAACUACAAAACUAGGGUACUGGUUCACUUUCAGCUGGAUUUUGAAUCCAGUUUGUGUCCCUAAAAGUGAGAUCAUCGCCCAUUAUGCAGUAAGCCAAUCUCACACACAGAGCCGAGAUCUUUGCUUUUUCAUGUCUGUGCAGAGAUGGAUGCUGAGUGGCAAAUCCACCAAGCCAGCACACCCUCACUAUGACAGGUGCUAAUUUUUAUACACUUGGAACAAUAAAAAAAUUGUCAUUUCCUGUAGAGGCAACCACCUAAAACUAUAGUCACUGACUUUGCAUUUUCUUGUCUCCAUUUAAAGAUACAGUGCACUGUUAUUUUACCUUGCAUGCUCUAUCAGGAAAGGGCUUACGUGAAUAAGGGCUGAUCUUAGCCUGUGAGCAGGUAUUUUACUAUAUUAAUGAGCACAAAGUUCAGAUGAAGUUGUUCCUUGGCUUUGUAGUUUGACUUAUACUGUUCUUACUUCUCCAGUCACGAUUCUUGGUUUCUGUAGGUUUGGUUAUUCCCUCGUUUUUCAUAAGUUCUUUUUCCUGUCCUGUAGUACAAUGAAUUUUUAACCUUCUCAUGGUACUUUAUUUCAAGAACACUGGAAUAGAAGCCAAAAUUUUUAUACAGUAACUUUGGUAUGUUGUCACAGUUGGCAAAUGAAAGACAGAAAGCAAGAGCCUGCUUGGAAGGAAGUAUACAUAGAGUAGUAUUCAAAGCAAGCUAAUUAAAUACUUGUAUAUUUCAAAAGAGACUUCAACUAUGAACUGUGAGAAUACUCUCAGUUGAGUUGCUUUAGGGACCUGUAUGUGAACAACUAUACCACUAGAUGUAACCCUAAAAUCUGAUGUUGGAAAAAGAAAAUGAAAACCAGACACUCAAUGUCUUCUUUGCAAUUUAACACAGGAAAAAUGAAAUGUAAAGAAAGAUGUUGGUAAACAAUAUUCCUAUCCUUUCUAGUGCUUAUUUAUGUAGCAAAAGAGUUAAUUUUACAAACAUCUUUACCUUACAAUUAUCGUCCUUACUAUUUCUUGAGUCGCUAGAUGGCCUUGCAUGACAGACCACAGAACCUGUGCACCACAUGCUUCAGUCAUUUAACUAAAUGAACUCAGAUGCUGAAUCUUAAAAAUAUUACUCAGCCAUUGCUGUUAAAGUUAAGCAAAAGUAACACUUUACACAGGAGGUAAAAUUUCUCUCCUACUUGUUUGAAUUCCAAUGUUAAAUCAACCACUUAAUGUCCAGAGACCCUCCCAAUACCAGUAAAGUCUCAAAAUCUAAUUUUUCUAAAUAAAUGUCCCACAUUCAUAAUAAUUUAAAAAUGUAAACACUCUUUUAGACAAACAUACAUAUUCAAAACAAUUUUUCUAUAUAGAAACAAAUAAAAAUUCCAAACAAACCACUACAGAAGUAAAAUAGCCAGCAAAAUGGAAUAUCAAGACUUAUACAAUACCGUGUUUAAAAUCCCAAAGAAAUUAUAGGGU
Long non-coding RNA from Neopelma chrysocephalum (saffron-crested tyrant-manakin), 1526 nucleotides. RefSeq lists it as uncharacterized. The transcript is spliced from 3 exons. The record is from RefSeq and is a predicted model, not a curated record. NCBI's taxonomy places the organism in Eukaryota, Metazoa, Chordata, Aves, Passeriformes, Pipridae.